ACAAGCGGUGGAGCAUGUGGUUAAUUCGAAGCAACGCGAAGAACCUUACCAGGUCUUGACAUCCCUGACAACCCGAGAGAUCGGGCGUUCCCCUUCGGGGGACAGGGUGACAGGUGGUGCAUGGUUGUCGUCAGCUCGUGUCGUGAGAUGUUGGGUUAAGUCCCGCAACGAGCGCAACCCUCGACCUUAGUUGCCAGCAUUCAGUUGGGCACUCUAAGGUGACUGCCGGCUAAAAGUCGGAGGAAGUGGGGAUGACGUCAAAUCAUCAUGCCCCUUAUGACCUGGGCUACACACGUGCUACAAUGGGCGGUACAAAGGGUCGCGAACCCGCGAGGGGGAGCCAAUCCCAAAAAGCCGCUCUCAGUUCGGAUUGCAGGCUGCAACUCGCCUGCAUGAAGCCGGAAUCGCUAGUAAUCGCGGAUCAGCAUGCCGCGGUGAAUACGUUCCCGGGCCUU
Molecule: ribosomal RNA, 455 nt
Filed under: uncultured Anoxybacillus sp.
Lineage: Bacteria; Bacillati; Bacillota; Bacilli; Caryophanales; Anoxybacillaceae
Description: bacterial SSU rRNA
Rfam family: Bacterial small subunit ribosomal RNA
Source: RNAcentral